RNAcentral lists this ribosomal RNA (164 nucleotides) under Rheum coreanum. RNAcentral's name for it is "5.8S ribosomal RNA". It matches the Rfam family "5.8S ribosomal RNA". From Rfam's summary of the family: 5.8S ribosomal RNA (5.8S rRNA) is a component of the large subunit of the eukaryotic ribosome. It is transcribed by RNA polymerase I as part of the 45S precursor that also contains 18S and 28S rRNA. The record is from RNAcentral. Lineage: Eukaryota; Viridiplantae; Streptophyta; Magnoliopsida; Caryophyllales; Polygonaceae.
AGAACAACUCUCGGCAACGGAUAUCUCGGCUCUCGCAUCGAUGAAGAACGUAGUGAAAAGCGAUACUUGGUGUGAAUUGCAGAAUCACGUGAACCAUCGAGUCUUUGAACGCAAGUUGUGCCUGAAGCCUUCUGGCCGAGGGCACGUCUGUCUGGGCAUCAUGC